RNAcentral lists this ribosomal RNA (465 nucleotides) under uncultured bacterium. RNAcentral describes it as "bacterial SSU rRNA". It matches the Rfam family "Bacterial small subunit ribosomal RNA", at positions 29 to 507 of the family's 1533-position model. The record is from RNAcentral.
AGCGAACGCUGGCGGCAGGCUUAACACAUGCAAGUCGAGCGAUGAAGUUUCUUCGGAAAUGGAUUAGCGGCGAACGGGUGAGGAACACGUGAAGAAUCUGCCCUCCACUUUGGGAUAACACCGGGAAACCGGUGCUAAUACCGAAUAUUGAAACAUAAGUGGCAUCACUGAGUUUUGAAAGAAUUUCGGUGGAGGAUGACUUCGCGGCCUAUCAGCUAGUUGGUGAGGUAAUGGCUCACCAAGGCAACGACGGGUAGCCGGCCUGAGAGGGCGGCCGGCCACACUGGGACUGAGACACGGCCCAGACUCCUACGGGAGGCAGCAGUGGGGAAUAUUGGGCAAUGGAGGAAACUCUGACCCAGCGACGCCGCGUGCGGGAUGAAGGCCUUCGGGUUGUAAACCGCUCUCAGUAGGGAAGAAGCGAAAGUGACGGUACCUACAAAAGAAGCACCGGCUAACUAUGUG